This is a long non-coding RNA of Ostrea edulis (European flat oyster), 702 nucleotides long. RefSeq lists it as uncharacterized. The transcript has 3 exons. The record is from RefSeq and is a predicted model, not a curated record. NCBI's taxonomy places the organism in Eukaryota, Metazoa, Mollusca, Bivalvia, Ostreida, Ostreidae.
AGUUAUGGCUUAAAUCUGAGGAUAAAGGUGUUGCGCAAUUAUCAUCAAUGUGGAUGUCUGAUGCCAGUAUACCCAUAGUGGAGCAAUAUAUAAGACGGCAAAUAAAACUGAUGUAAACUAUGCCAGUAGUUGGAUAAAACAUCCGAAGUCGACACAGUCAAAGGUCACAACAACAAUGGAGGAAUUAACUGCAUCCUCAUUCCUCAGGGCAACAGGCCAUUGUGAACAACCCCAUAAAUUUUUAAUUGAGGCUAAGUGCCCAUUUUUAGCUUGAACAAUGGCAAUUAAAGAGGCCUGUGCAAAUUUUGGUAUUUCCUUCUUGAAUGUGAUGCAAGGGAUGGUUCGCUGCACCUCAAAACAAAAUAUGAAUAUUGGCAUCAGAUUCAAGGAUGCAACAACACCUGAAAGACACCCAAUGCUGUGAUUUGCUAGUGUGGAUUCCUUGUGACACUCAAAUAGUUCACAUUGAUAAAGAUGUAUUAUGGUCAACAAAGAUUUUAAAUGUGAUAGAGUUUAAUUAUAAUAAUAAAGUAUUUUUUGCAGUCUAAAACACAGACAAAUAACCGCAUGUUCAUAUACUUUAUUAUGAUAUCAGUGGUGCAUCUAUCAAAGUUAUGUAAUUACAUGUAUACUAUUGAAAAAACAUUAUAGACAGAGUUUUUCUUAUUGUAGAUAAACCAAAAUAUAUGUAUAGACACAGUG